GCCGGGGUGGCGGAAUUGGUAGACGCGCACGAUUCAGGGUCGUGUGUCCUCACGGACGUGCGGGUUCAAGUCCCGCCCCCGGCACCA
Molecule: transfer RNA, 87 nt
Filed under: Thermus sp.
Lineage: Bacteria; Thermotogati; Deinococcota; Deinococci; Thermales; Thermaceae
Also listed under: 7 other names
Description: tRNA-Leu
Rfam family: tRNA
About the family: Transfer RNA (tRNA) molecules are approximately 80 nucleotides in length. Their secondary structure includes four short double-helical elements and three loops (D, anti-codon, and T loops). Further hydrogen bonds mediate the characteristic L-shaped molecular structure. tRNAs have two regions of fundamental functional importance: the anti-codon, which is responsible for specific mRNA codon recognition, and the 3' end, to which the tRNAs corresponding amino acid is attached (by aminoacyl-tRNA synthetases). tRNAs cope with the degeneracy of the genetic code in two manners: having more than one tRNA (with a specific anti-codon) for a particular amino acid; and 'wobble' base-pairing, i.e. permitting non-standard base-pairing at the 3rd anti-codon position.
Source: RNAcentral